This 479-nucleotide ribosomal RNA is filed under the name uncultured bacterium. RNAcentral's name for it is "partial 16S ribosomal RNA". It matches the Rfam family "Bacterial small subunit ribosomal RNA", at positions 28 to 507 of the family's 1533-position model. The record is from RNAcentral.
GACGAACGCUGGCGGCGUGCUUAACACAUGCAAGUCGAACGAAGCUUGAUUACGGAUUCUUCGGAUGAAGUAUGAUAUGACUGAGUGGCGGACGUGUGAGUAACGCGUGAGUAACCUGCCCUUCAGAGGGGGAUAGCGUUUGGAAACGAACGGUAAUACCGCAUAAUGUAUUUUGACCGCAUGAUCGAAAUACCAAAGAUUUAUCGCUGAAGGAUGGACUCGCGUCUGAUUAGGUAGUUGGUGGGGUAACGGCCUACCAAGCCGACGAUCAGUAGCCGGACGGAGAGGUUGAGCGGCCACAUUGGGACUGAGACACGGCCCAGACUCCUACGGGAGGCAGCAGUGGGGAAUAUUGCACAAUGGGCGCAAGCCUGAUGCAGCAACGCCGCGUGAAGGAAGACGGUUUUCGGAGUGUAAACUUCUGUUCUUAGUGAAGAAUAAUGACGGUAGCUAAGGAGCAAGCCACGGCUAACUACGUG